Schistosoma mattheei is the source of this 45-nucleotide non-coding RNA. The record is from Rfam. Lineage: Eukaryota; Metazoa; Platyhelminthes; Trematoda; Strigeidida; Schistosomatidae.
AUCCAGCUGACGAGUCUGAAAGAGGACGAAACGAGCGUCGUAGAU